Molecule: ribosomal RNA, 505 nt
Filed under: uncultured bacterium
Lineage: Bacteria
Description: partial 16S ribosomal RNA
Rfam family: Bacterial small subunit ribosomal RNA
Source: RNAcentral
GACGAGCGCUGGCGGCGUGCCUAAUACAUGCAAGUAGAACGCACAGUUUAUACCGUAGCUUGCUACACCAUAGACUGUGAGUUGCGAACGGGUGAGUAACGCGUAGGUAACCUGCCUGGUAGCGGGGGAUAACUAUUGGAAACGAUAGCUAAUACCGCAUAAUAUUAAUUAUUGCAUGAUAAUUAAUUGAAAGGUGCAAUUGCACCACUACCAGAUGGACCUGCGUUGUAUUAGCUAGUAGGUGAGGUAACGGCUCACCUAGGCGACGAUACAUAGCCGACCUGAGAGGGUGAUCGGCCACACUGGGACUGAGACACGGCCCAGACUCCUACGGGAGGCAGCAGUAGGGAAUCUUCGGCAAUGGACGAAAGUCUGACCGAGCAACGCCGCGUGAGUGAAGAAGGUUUUCGGAUCGUAAAGCUCUGUUGUAAGAGAAGAACGGGUGUGAGAGUGGAAAGUUCACACUGUGACGGUAUCUUACCAGAAAGGGACGGCUAACUACGUG